RNAcentral lists this ribosomal RNA (512 nucleotides) under Candida albicans. Its description in RNAcentral is "eukaryotic LSU rRNA". The stretch from base 145 to 298 matches the Rfam family "5.8S ribosomal RNA". Lineage: Eukaryota; Fungi; Ascomycota; Pichiomycetes; Serinales; Debaryomycetaceae. The record is from RNAcentral.
GCUUCGCGGUUCUGAUUUAGUGCCCCAUGUGUUUUUCUUUGAAACAAACUUGCUUUGGCGGUGGGCCCAGCCUGCCGCCAGAGGUCUAAACUUACAACCAAUUUUUUAUCAACUUGUCACACCAGAUUAUUACUUAAUAGUCAAAACUUUCAACAACGGAUCUCUUGGUUCUCGCAUCGAUGAAGAACGCAGCGAAAUGCGAUACGUAAUAUGAAUUGCAGAUAUUCGUGAAUCAUCGAAUCUUUGAACGCACAUUGCGCCCUCUGGUAUUCCGGAGGGCAUGCCUGUUUGAGCGUCGUUUCUCCCUCAAACCGCUGGGUUUGGUGUUGAGCAAUACGACUUGGGUUUGCUUGAAAGACGGUAGUGGUAAGGCGGGAUCGCUUUGACAAUGGCUUAGGUCUAACCAAAAACAUUGCUUGCGGCGGUAACGUCUACCACGUAUAUCUUCAAACUUUGACCUCAAAUCAGGUAGGACUACCCGCUGAACUUAAGCAUAUCAAUAAGCGGAGGAA